Brassica rapa (field mustard) is the source of this 7739-nucleotide long non-coding RNA. RefSeq lists it as uncharacterized. Lineage: Eukaryota; Viridiplantae; Streptophyta; Magnoliopsida; Brassicales; Brassicaceae. The record is from RefSeq and is a predicted model, not a curated record.
AAAAUUUAUCCUCCUGCAAACGCCCGCAACCGCAAACGCUAGCUGGAACCAGCUUUUGAAUUUAUGAGGUUCAAAGCGAUUUGGAGCGAUUUGGAGCGGUUUAGAGCGGUUUGAGCGAUUGUUGCAAAACGCCAGCAACCGCUACUAACCGCAAAAGCUGCGUUUGCGGGUGGUAGCGGGAAAACCAGUCAUACCCUUAAGCAUGCAAGUCUGUCAGCAAUAAUCCUUUCUCAAAAAAAAAGAAAAGUCGGUCAGUAUUGUAUUUUUAAUUAACUCGACAACAUUUAUUACAAAAUAUUAAACAUAACUUAUAUAUUUUAAAAUAUUUUAUUAUAUCUUCUUGUUUUACUCUUUCUAACAAAUUCAUCAAUUGUAUUUACUAUAAUAUCACAUCAUUUAUUUAACGUGUUAAGAAUAAUAAUUUUUAGGUUUGAAUAAAAACAAUUAUUCGUGACAAAAAUUCAAACCGUUAAAAAAAAUUAUUUGUUCACAAAAUCAGUUAGACAUGGACAUUCAAGUGUUAAAAAUCAGUUUAUUUUGAUAUCAUUAUUUUGUUUUAAAAUUAAACUCCAUUCAGAUACUAUAAAUUUAUGGAUGAGAUUCGAUUCAGAUCAUUUCGGAUCCGGAUAUGAAUCUAAAAAUAUUUAAAUAACCAAUAUGUUUAAAAAUAUUAUCAAACAAUUUAUAAAAAAAAAAUUAAAAUCCGUGCAAACUCGCUAGUAAAGUUUUAAGAUGCGAGAUACUUUUUUUUUGAAACAUAAGAAGUUGAAACAUUUGUGCAAAUGUUCUUGUAAGACGCGAGAUACUCGUAUAUAUAAAAUUUGUGUUCUUGUAAUUAUAAUUGUAUUCUCAAUCUAAUACCACUUCCAAUAAUAAAAUUUCUCUUUACCUAUAGACGUGGCUGAAAUGGUGAACCAUAUUAGAUCUAAGUGCCGUUUACUUUUGUAUUUAUUCAUUUGUUGCAUCUGGAAUCGUAUAUUGUGAAUUUUUAUUGUAUAACAAUUAUAAAGUGUCUAUAUUAAGUACUACUGUAAUUAUUCCCAUAAAUAAUGUAAGAAGUAAUAGGCUAAUGACAAAAAUCGAAUACUUUAAGUUAUAUUUUUUUUAACAGAGCCUUACUAAGUUACUUGAUGUAGGUAACUAGAUGUGCAUUUCGGAAGGGGAUAUUGCUAUUUUAGACAUGAAACCAUAUAAUUUCAGGGGAUAUAUGUCUGCCACGUGUAGAGUAAAUGUUGGUUAAGACUCAUCCACUUUGGUUGGUUGAAAUUUUGAAAUCCAUUGAGCAAGCGAAGACAAACAUACAACAACGGGCACCUGUUCGGAUAAACACAUAUACCUUUCAUAUUGCACCUCAUCUACUCGCAUACAAAAUGCAUAUUUAAUUAACAUAUACUUGUAUAUAAUAUUAAUAUAAUGUAGAUGUAAUGCAACAUAAAGUGGGACAACUGAAAUUAGGUGAUGUGUCAUCAUGGUUACCAGAUAAGUGUCUUUUUUUUUUCUUUUUAACUCAAAAUUUUAUUAUUUUUUUCAUAAUGAAACAUCGUGGAUUAUAAAAACGAGCAGAAAAUAGUAAUAUCUCCGAAAACAAUAACAAUGAGGUAGAAUAAUACGAGAAAUAAAUAUUAGAGAGCCACAUGUACUAAAGUUGGAACUGAUGGACUGAUCAUAACUCGCACACAUUCGUGAGAAACAUGAGACCGAAGAUAACUAAAGAAUCAAUGACUUAGGCAAACCCAAUCCUAAAAGGUACACCACAAAGCCAAAACAGGCGCAACAUCGGGACUAACAUGUACGAGAAUAAACUUACAUCAACACCAAAGACUGUUGCAAACCGGAGUCAAGGCAGAACCAAGUCAAAACCAAACACCUAGACUCAAGGACACAAUAACUUGAAAAGCUAAAGGAAAAAAACACAGGCGAAGAUUUAGAGAUCUUACACACUCGUUAGGCAGAAUAGCGAUCUAUGGAACUAAAACUGGUCACUUCCUCGCAAGAGAAAACUUGCAAAUCAAACUCACUGAUUCGUCUCCAAACGCUCGCCCAAUCCAUUGUGGAUAAAGGUAUAGUAGAUACCUCCACAGCAAAUACACCUCACACCGACGAAUCCAAAAAGCUAGAACAAGCGAAAAAGAAUUAACCAUAACUGCAAGCAACCGAAAAGAAACAAAAGCACCACAACCCAUACAUCCCUUGAACAACGACGAUUCUAUAGAUUCUGAUCGUCGAAAUUGGUGAGAAAUAUGAACUAACGAGAAAAAGACCUUCACCCAAACCACCAUAAACCAUUCAAAACCUAGAUUAAACUAAAGAGAAAUAGCAUAUCCUCCCUCACGUAGCGGCGGUGAAAAGCACCACCAAGCACGGAAGGAGAUCAGGCGACGUGGAGUUUCUUCUUCUUUUCUCUCUCGACGGCUUGACCUAAUUUUUCUGACCAGAUAGGUGUCUUAUGUUCUAUAUACUAUGGUGUUUCAAAAUUUUCAGUUAUAUCUAUCAUUACUGUCCUCAAACGGCCGGCCGGUUACUUUGUGGCUUUUCAUAAAUUGCUGAGAAGUCAAUAUCUUUUGUGGUGAAACCUACACCGUAUAAUUUAACUCUCCUUUGAAGAGCAAAUCGUUUACUCUAUAGACCAACUCAUAAUUGUUUCCAGUGGCAAUGUUCGGUGUAAAAUCGCAGCGACAAAUCGCAGCGACAACGAUCAGUGAUCCGAAUUUAGAAGAAAAAAAUGAGAUAAUUUAAUGGAAAAGAUAGAAGAAGAAAAGACGAUCAAUUUUAUCGUGGACUUAACUCUUUUAGAGGGCAUGACUUAUACCUUAUGGUUGCCCGCUAUUAUUAAUAAUGGCUUAGGGGUAGCGCUAAAAACUACAAAGCAACUCGUACAAAAGAUCAAAAAUCUGAUCCGAAUUAUAUCGAAUUAUAUGUUUAAUUAGUCGAGAAGUUUUAGGUAGUUUCGUUGUCCAUUAUAGGUUACAUCAAUAUGUUAACUUGAAUAAAUAAUUCAUGGAGGAUCUCAAUUAGUCAAUUAGUUUGUAAUUACUAAAUCGGUUUUUUAAAUGAUGAGCAAACCUCGACAGUUUCUUGGGUGACAUUUUGUCGUGUUAGUUUCUUCCAAGAGAAAACAUAUACAUACAUAUAGUGAAUGUAUGUGUGUGUUUGUGCUGUGUGCAUGUAAAAACGGAUGAGACAUGUGAUUGGGUCUAUAUUUGUCAAUGGGCAGUGAUGGUAACAUCUCUUUUAGUGCUCACAUGCACCAGUUCACGACCUUUGCUUUUGUCUCCACAGCUCCUCCAAUCUGUGUGUUCUUAAAAUUGUAUUAUCUUGUUUCUUUGUUUUUAUAUAUUCAUAUCUAAUAUAACUCGUCAUUUUCUGGCGACACUAAGUUAUUGGUUAGUUAUUUUACUUUUCAUGGCUGCUAGCCUGCUAGAAAUAGAAAACUUAAAUUACGUAACUUUAAGCUUGUUACCUUAGGUACUCUCGUCUUUUUUUACAGCAACGACUAGAUACACAGUAACAAUAAUUAAUAUAAAUCCAUGCUCAAAUGCUUUCCGUAUGUAAAUUGUAUAAAUGAUGAUAAAAGUCCAAAUUUCAAAAGAUCACAUGCUAAAUACAUAAAUACCUUGAGCCAACGCUUGAAUACAGACAUUAAGGCUCUUAAUGAUGAGCAAAUGUAACAGGGGUUUCUAUCUCUAGUUAUAAAGGACUUACAGCUGUGAGUACUGCCACCUGGAUUCGAAUCCCGGCCACUGGGAAAUUAAUAUUUCAGCAUCGCCAGGGACAGAGGACCGACACGUGGCAACACGUGACUAGUCUGGAUUACUUCUGUGGAGUCAGGAUACCUCUGUAUAAUUCAAAAAAAAAAUGAUGAGCAAAUGAAUGAAUGGAAAUAGUGAACACUAUAAGAAAACACGAUAACUUCUGACAGAAUUUUUGACUAAUUCCCUACGACAAAUAGACAAAAUACAUUCUGUUGAAACUUGUCAAGAAUCCGUAGGAAACUGUUGGAGAUGUCAAACAAAGAGGUUCAAGCGAAAAAUGCAUCAAUCAUGGUUCAGAACACUGACCCUGCCUGGCAAAUCGCAAAAAAAAAAAAAAAAAAAAAAAAAAAUUCAUGGAAGCGAUGCGCCGCAAGUUUGGCGUCUUUUAGUUUUAUGUUUUCAUUCUUACUUACUUUUAAAUACUUGGUUUUGUAUAAAAUUAAUUUAUUUUACUUUAUUAUUUUCAAAUUAAAAAUUUUAGUUAGUAAAAUAUUUUUUUUUAAAAUAUAUGAUUUAACUAUAUAUAUAUAAUUUUGUUAAAAAAUCAUCGCGAAUAACUCUUGAUGGAUCUUCACUUUCGACAACUCCUUUCGUCUGAAAACAGUCUUUGGGAAUUCAUAUCACAACAAGUUCUCGACGUAUUAUUUUCUUUGAUGAGGUAGACCAUCGAAAAUGUUUAUAGGAAAUCCGAAAUCCGUCGGAACAGGCAUUCCAGAUGACCUUCCACCAAAUAUGUUCAUCGAUAAUAAUACGUUUUGUAGAGGAAGUUCCUUAUAUUCUUCAAAAUUUACACCAAUUUAAAAUAAUAUAGAUGGUUCUUGUCAUUCCUUUCAGUAAAUUUUAUUUUUUUAUCAAAUUUUGUAGAAACAUUAAAUAACCAAAUAUUUCUCUUCAGCUCUAUCAUUGUUCCUUCUAUUAUUUUAUUUUUAAUUCAUGUUAUUUUUUAAUGGUUACCAGUUAGCGUAUUUUCGCCAAAAUUAUAUAUAAGAUCUUUUCCACAGAUAAUUUCUGAAACAUGUUCUCAAUUAAUCAUUUAGAUACGAAAAUAAAAUAAUAAAUACAAGAUAAAUAUAAAAUUAUAGAUAAAUACAUAUGAUAACGAUAAUAAAAUGUUUUUGUUUCAAAAUAAUGCAUAAAAUGACAAAAUUAGCAUUCAUUAAAGGAUAUAAAGAUAAAUUUGUGCAUAUGUUUAAAUAGGAAUGAAUUAGAGUUUAAUGUUUGGGAGUGAAAGUUUAGGGUCUAGAGUUUAAUAUCAGGUUUAGAGCUUAGGAUAUAAAAUUUUGGGUAUUGAUAUUUAUUUUAUUUUUAAAGAAAUAUUUAAAAAUAUUUAUUGAUAUUAAAUAUAUUUUAUUAAGAGUAUUUUGGUGUUUGUAGUUUUAACAAAUAUUAUUUUUGGUAUUCUCUCUUUUGUGUGCUAUUUACGAUAAACUAUUUUGUGAUAAAAGCUAUUUUAUGCUAUAUAGUGGAAUUGAUUAAAUUUAUAAAAAAUGUUCUUCAAAUAAGAAAAUAUAAAAACUGGUCAAGUAUUUAUGAAAAAAAUGUUAUAUAUAUUUUUAAAUUUUUUUAUAUAUUUAUAUGUUUUUUAUUUUACUUAUUUGUCAUGUUAUCCAUGAUUUGAGAUAUUUUGCGUAUUUUUCAUGUUUACAUGAUUUUAAUUAAUAUUUUUGCUUAUUUGCCAUACUUUAAUUAUUUUACCUAAGUCAUUAGUUUGUAUAAUACAUAUUAUUAUUUAUAACUUUAUUAAAAAUGGGUGUGACAUUAAGACAAUGGGGUCUAUAUAUUAUCUUAUUUAUUAAUAUUUAAUUUUUUGAUCUAUGUUGGUUAAUAUUUAAUUAUAUCAUACUGUGAUUUUUCAUUGAUGUGUCCUAUUUAUAUUCUCUUUUUCACUAUUUCAUCAUUCUAAUAUUUUAUCUUUAAAAUGUUAUUGCUGAGGUCAUGAAUGUGAAACUUUUAGAAGUGAUUUUGUGCAUUCGAAUUCUCACGUUAAAAAUUAGAUAGGUUAAUCUCAAUGUUAACUUUAAUAAAUUAUUAAAUUUACAUGUAACAAUUUUAAUUAAAAGUACAUUUAUCUAAAUUAGUUUAUAAAUUGUGAUAGGGACUAGAUAUUUUUAUAAUUAAACUCUUAAUAAUCUAUGUAAGUACUGUUUUAAGCUGACAAGUUACCAUCAAUUUUAACUGAAUAUUAUCUUUGAUUCAAAAAGAUGAAUUUUCGAAACUAUAUAUACUAAACCAGGCCUAUACUGAACUCCAUUUAUCUUUGUUGUGUAUGUCUGGCCGCUCAUAUAUUUAGAUUUUAGUUUAGUUUAUAAAAGUUGCCAUCAAUUUAACUGAAUAUUAUCUUCGAUUCAAAAAGAUGAAAUUUCUGAACUAUUCAUACUAAUCCCUAUUUAUCUUUGUCUUGUAUGGCCGCUCAUUUGUUGAGUUCUUAGCUUAGUUUAUACCUAUAUAUAUGAGUCAAUGUUAUAUUGCUUCUAAUAUCUUAUGUGAUUUUAUUGUGUAACAGGGAGCAUUAAUACAAUCAUUACAUAUCAGAAGGAGAGAGGAGGAAUGAUAGGCGGACUACUACAAAAUCGAAAAAUAAAAUUAUAAAGGUAUUAUGUUAUCAUGUAUAUAUAUUUGGGUUUUUGACAAAGAUGAUAAAUUUAAGUUUGAUUCUUAAUGGUGGUUAAAUAUAGCAACAAUAACAGAGAAAACAAAUUGUAUAUACAAAUAAAAUUUCACACUUUAUAUCACGAACAAUGUGAAAGGUUUUUCGUUUAUGGUUUUCGGUGGGCAAAACAAAGACUUUAAUGGAGGGUUUGGAAUCUGCUACAGUGACAAAAAAAUGUAUUUAAUGUUACAUGGUAUAAAGGUUAAAAGCACCAUUAUCAUUAAUGAAUCAUUAUAUAAUUUAUCUAUGUUAUUACUUGUUGAUAAAUUUGUUUAAUAUAUUAUACUAUAAGAUUAUAUAUUGGAUAAUAUAUAAGUAGUUUUUUAGGUUUGUAUUGGAUACGUUGGAUCAUAAGUAAUUUUAAUUUAUUUGUAAAGUUAUGCGGACAAAAUACUUAGUUCUCUAAUUAAAUUAUUAAUUUUUAAAUAUAUAUAUAUAAUUGAAUCAUUUAAUUAUUUAAAAAUAUUAAUGAUGUGCUCCAACAUAAAAGAUAUUAUUGUCAUAUGCUUCAAAAGUCAAACGUACUGAUAUGAUUCUUUUUUAUUAAAGAAAAAUAUAUGACAACUGCACUUAUUGUAUUAAUUCAUCACAUAUAUAUUCAAACUAUAAUAAUGCAAUGAGCGUAAAAAUAAAGUAAAAUAUAUAUACAUAUAUAUAUGAUAAAACUGGAAUCGUUUUAAAUCUGCCUCAACAUUCCUCUAACAAGAAUCGUUUUCUCUGACGAGACCGACUAACCAAUCGUUUUUACCUCACGUUUAUAGUUUGAAUAUAUAUGUGAUGAAUUAAUAAUGCAUUAUUAUUAUAUAUUCAAACUAUAAUAAAGCAUUAUGAGCGUAAAAUAUAUAUAUGAUAAAACUGGAAUCGUUUUAAAUCUGCCUCAACAUUCCUCCAACAAGAAAAUAGUUUUCAGCUUCCUCUGACGAGACUGUCAAACCAACCGUUUCUACCUCAAGUUUAUGUCAAGAAAACUCGCAAGGUAAAGAUAAUACUGUUUAAAAAAUAUUAUGCUGUCAAGGGUGAUUACCUUGUUUGACAGAUGCAGCUCACAAGAGCAGAAAAAUGUUAUGGAUUGAAGAGUUAUAAAGGACUAAAUUAUGAAGAAAAUACAAUACUCCGUCAGUUUCAUUAAAAAAUGUUAUUUGAAUUUUUUUCACAUAUUAAAAAAUAAUUUUAAAAUCUCUAUUUUAUGAUUUAUUUACACAUUAAAUAAAAGUUUUUUUUAAUAAUAUAUUAGCACAAUAGGAAUAAAACUGAUUUAUUUUAAAAAAAAAUUGCAUUAAAAUUAUAAACUAAAACUUUAAAACUGACAUUCUUUGCGAAACGGAGAAAAUAACAAA